This 225-nucleotide Y RNA is filed under the name Cavia porcellus (domestic guinea pig). It matches the Rfam family "Y RNA". Rfam says of the family: Y RNAs are components of the Ro ribonucleoprotein particle (Ro RNP), in association with Ro60 and La proteins. The Y RNAs and Ro60 and La proteins are well conserved, but the function of the Ro RNP is not known. The record is from Rfam by way of RNAcentral. Lineage: Eukaryota; Metazoa; Chordata; Mammalia; Rodentia; Caviidae.
GGCUGGUCCGAUGGCAGUGGGUUAUCAGAACUUAUUUUUUUUUUUUUUUUUUGUCUUUUUCGUUUUUAUCGGUACCAGGGAUCGAACUCACGACUGCCUGCUUGCAAAGCAGGUGCUUAUGCCGCUGAGCUAAAUCCCCAGCCCCGGGUUAUCAGAACUUAUUAACAUUAGUGUCACUAAAGUUGGUAUACCACCCCCCCCACUGCUAAAUUUGACUGGCUUUAA